This 1354-nucleotide long non-coding RNA is filed under the name Calidris pugnax (ruff). RNAcentral's name for it is "lncRNA (ENSCPUG00000002133.1)". The record is from RNAcentral. Lineage: Eukaryota; Metazoa; Chordata; Aves; Charadriiformes; Scolopacidae.
AUGUUCCUCAAAACGUGGGUGGAGAACAUUGACUUGGGGGGGAAAAAGGAGAGAGGAGCAAAAGCCCAAACCUUCGGAGGAGGAUCCUUCCCAAUAUUUUUUUGGAAAAAUGAUGGAAUUUUGAGCCAAGAGUGUUGGCUCCUCAACGUAUGGAUCUCCUCACCCCAAGGAGCUUCCCAAAGAUGCUCCUCAAAACCAAGAUGCAACCUCAAAACUCAACGUCGUGGAGAACGUGCUGUAAAAUUUAGGCAUAAACUUGGGGAAAAAAAGGGAGGGAGGAGCAAGAACCCAAAUGAAAACCACCUUUGGAGGAGGAUCCUUCCCAAUAUUUUUGGAAAAAUGAUGGAAUUUUGAGUCAAGAGUGUUUGUUCCUCAACGUAUGGAUCUCCUCACCCCCAAGGAGCUUCCCAAAGGAGCCAAGAUGCUCCUCAAAACUCAACGUGGGUGGGGAACGUUGACUUGAGGGGGGAAAAGGAUUGAGGAGCAAAAGCCCAAACCUUCCAAAGAGCAUCCUUCCCCGUAAUUUUGGAAAAAUGAUGGAAUUUUGAGCCAAGAGUGUUUGUUCCUCAACGUAUGGAUCUCCUCACCCCCAAGGAGCUUCCCAAAGAUGCUCCUCAAAACCAAGAUACAACCUCAAAACUCAACAUCGUGGAGAACGCGCUGUAAAAUUUAGGCAUAAACUUGGGGAAAAAAGAGACACAGGAGCAAGAACCCAAUUGAAAACCACCUUUGGAGGAGGAUCCUUUCUGGUAUUUUUGGAAAAAUGAUGGAAUUUUGAGCCAAGAGUGUUGGCUCCUCAACGUAUGGAUCUCCUCACCCCCAAGGAGAUUCCCAAAGGAGCCAAGAUGCUCCUCAAAACUCAACAUGGGAGGAGAACAUUGACUUGGGGGGGGAAAAGGAUUGAGGAGCAAAAGCCCAAACUUUCCUAGGAGCAUCCUUCCCAAUAUUUUGGGGAAAAUGAUGGAAUUUUGAGCCAAGAGUGUUUGUUCCUCAACGUAUGGAUCUCCUCACCCCCAAGGAGCUUCCCAAAGGAGCCGAGAUGCUCCUCAAAACCCAACACGAGAGGAGAACAUUGACUUGGGGGGGGAAAGGAGAGAGGAGCAAAAGCCCAAACCUUUGGAGGAGGAUCCUUCCCAAUAUUUUUUUGGAAAAAUGAUGGAAUUUUGAGCCAAGAGUGUUGGCUCCUCAACGUCUGGAUCUCCUCACCCCCAAGGAGCUUCCCAAAGGAGCCAAGAUGUUCCUCAAAACCCAACAUGGGAGGAGAACAUUGACUUGGGGGGGAAAAAGGAGAGAGGAGCAAAAGCCCAAACCUUUGGAGGAGGAUCCUUCCCAAUAUUUUUUUGGAAAAAUGAUG